GUAAGACCCAGCUGGGUGCGGGUCUGCUCCCGCAAGCUAACUCUAAGGCGGCUUUCAGUGGGGUCCUGGAGCUCGGGGGCGGCAUCUCGCGGGAUAUUCCCCACGGGGCGAAGGAGGAGUCAACACCUGUUAUCUCGUGUUAAUCCUGGGCAUGAACAUCCUAAGAAUGUUUUUAGCUCCCGCAACACGAUCCGGCAGUGGAGGGACGCUCCCUUCACCCACAUUAUACAUGAAGACACUGAGGCUCAAGGAGACUGGGAGAGACUGACCCAAGGUCAACCCAAGGCUAACUCUAACCUCACUUCAGAGCUGAGCCUCUCAGCCAAGCUGGAUGACCUCUAGCUGGAGAUGCAGGGAGAGCCCAGUAGGUCCUUUCAGAUUGGUGUGGGUGCACACACAGAGACACAAGCGCUGUACGGUCACAUAAACACACACACACACACACACACACACACACACACACACACACACCACUGCCUCUAGCUCCUUGACUCAAGUCCCAGUUACAAGCGGCAGCCAUGCUUGCUGCCUCUCAGCUUGCUUCCACCACCAGGAACCGAGCAGGGAAGGGAGUGCGGAAGGCCACCCUGAGGGCAGGGACAAAGACAGGCCGGCCAGCUUCAGGACCUGUGCAUGGAAACUCCUUAGGCAACAGAUAGCCGUGCAGACUGAGAAGGCAACUGAGCGCUUGAAAAGUCUCCUAGGAUGUCUCAGAAUGACUUUCUUGGGCCUCAGUUUCCUAUUCUGUGAGCUGACCUGUCCCCAAGCUGGACCUGAAGCUUAUUUGUGGGAAACUUCUUCGGGUCAGUUAAAUGCCUACCCUCCCUGCCUUCUUGUGAAGUUCUUCCUGGAUCUUUGCUGCCGAAGCAGAGACAAGGCUCUCUUAAGAGCUUGCCUGCAGCCAAAUGUUAGAAAUGCUCAAGGACCCACUCAGGAGCUGGUGGGAUGGCUCCAUGAUAAAGCAUGAGGAUCAGAGUUCAGAUCCCCCGAACCCACAUGAAACCUGGGCAGGUAUGGUGGCCAUCCAGCACUUAGAAGGCAGAAACCGGGGAUCUAGCUAGUCUGGGGCAAGUGGGCUAGCUAAACUGGCUGGAGCUGGUGAGCUCUGGGUUCACGGAGAGACUCUGUCUCUAUAAAGUGGAAAGUGACCGGUGAAGAUACCUGACAUCCGCUUUGGAUCUCCACACACAUGUACACCCACACACAUACGCAUGCAUGCAUACCACAUACACACAUGAGGAGGGGUGCCUAACUAGAUAUUUUUAUUAUUAUUUUCUUCUAUCUGAGGUAAGGUCUCAUGUAUCCCAAACUGGUGCUGAAUUCACUAUGAAGGUGAGGGUGGCCUUGAACUUCUGAUCUUCCUGCUUUCACCUCUCAGAUGCUGUAUUUACAGGCAUGAGCCAACACCCACCAAGUCCAAUUUUGAUUUUUUUUAUUAAAUUGCAUUAAUUAUUAGUGUCUGGGGGAGGGUAUCACACCUCCCACGCCAUGGCUGAGGACAACUUUUGGGAAGCUGGUUCUCUCCUUUGGUUCCAGGGACCAAGCUCAGGUAAUACCCACUGAGACAUCCCCACCAAAAUGCUCUCCACCCACUUUGAGAUCAGGUCCGUCUGUGAGAUCCAAGCUAACCUCAAACCCAGGAUCCUUCUGCCCCUGUGCCUUACCUUAUUUUAUUUUAUAUUUUUGAGAUGGAAUCUUGCUUUGUUGUCCUUGCGACUUUCAAACCCCUAGACUCAAGUAAUCAUCCUGCCUCAGCCAAUGAGUAGCUGGGACUGACUCAUCCAGGUCCUGGGAAGUCCAUCAUCCCACACAGCAUCGACCACGCCCUCCUUGUAUGCCAUGAGCUGAGUCUAGGGGAUAGGGCAGUGAACAGAAGAGCUCUGUCCUAUGCUAGGAACACAAUCCAGCAGAAUGACUUAGAGCCAGCAGCCGGGCAGGGGGUUGCCUUGGCUCCCCAGUAGAGGACCUAGUGUGGCAAAGGCCUGGGUACGGAAUAGAAAUGAGGAAGCCUGGGCCCCUGAGCUCAGUGUACCUGGCUCUAGAGUACUGCUGAUUCAAAGGAGAAGUCAGAGCUGCUGACCUUCCAAACUGCUCCAUCUACCCAGGUGACUUUCGGACCCUGCCUGAUGCUCUCAGUCAGGGAUGCCAGCCCGUCUGGAGUUCCCUUGUCCUAGGUGGUUUCCAGCCCCACCCACUUUCCUGGAGCCCAGUUCAUGACUCUUGCCAGGCGUGCCCCAGUGUCACUCUGAGUAACCCCAAGGACCAGGGUGACCUCACAGCUCUUGAUUCAGAUUUAGUCACUUUACUUCCUGCUCUGGCAUCUGGGGGAGUGGCAGGUCCCCAUCAUGACUUCCUCUGUUGAACUGGCUCUAUGUCACACAGGGGAAAUGGUGGAGACCUAGAAGGGGACCCCUAGCCACUCAGAUGAAUUCACUCUGACAGCUCAGUAAUGAUCCUGACACUCCCCAUUUCUAGUAGAAAAAGAGCCUGACCCGGGGAGGACAGCAGGUCCUCACCCAUCAUUCCACAGACUUCAUGACAUGCCUUUCUUUUUCUUCCCUUUCCACAGGAGAAAACUGACCUCAAAGAAAUGAUUUUUUUUUUAAGUGCUGAAAAUCCAACCUAAGAUCUCAUGCACGAAAAACAAGCCCCGUCUAUUAAGUUGGACCCCCCCACUCAAACUUGGCUUCUUCAAGGCCAUAUGGCAAGAAGUUGACAGAGGUGGAACUGGAACCCGGGGACCUAACUUUGAAAUUAUUUAAUAAGUACUGCACACCUAACCUCCUGGGUCAGGAAGUGGAGAGGGAGGACUCCCUGCCCACAGAGCCCAAGCCCAUUCAGGUCCAGCCUGUACCCCUGCUCCUUUGCUUUGGGCUGGCCUUAGACGGGACCCACAUUUCAGAGCACUCACUCUCUGUUCUACACAAGAGGCUCAGGGUUGUCAUUUCCUUAGUAGACAGGACCUUAAGUUGUGGGGGAAGCCAGCAGGCUUCUCCUGAUGAGAACCAGACUUGUGCUGUCCGAUGGGAUUGUGGGAUUCUGUCUGUCUCUUCAAAAACCCUUCCUUCCACAACUGGUCCCUGUUCUGUCAGGAUCCCCCCACCACACACACACACACACACACACACACACACACACACACACACACCAGGAUUCCUUCCCUCUUCCUGCACGCCAGCCUUCAUCUCCCACUCAUCAGCCCCUUCUCUGGGUAAGACUGUAUAGUUCUAUGCUAGCCACACACCCACAGUUGUGGAGCACUUGAUAUGAGAGUCAGCUGAGACUCUGAAUUUUACACUUAAUUUAGUUUAAAUUAACUCACAUGUAAG
Molecule: long non-coding RNA, 3329 nt
Organism: Peromyscus californicus insignis
Lineage: Eukaryota; Metazoa; Chordata; Mammalia; Rodentia; Cricetidae
Exons: 3
Source: RefSeq, a predicted model, not a curated record